Molecule: long non-coding RNA, 1099 nt
Filed under: Daphnia pulex (common water flea)
Lineage: Eukaryota; Metazoa; Arthropoda; Branchiopoda; Diplostraca; Daphniidae
Description: uncharacterized LOC124193133, transcript variant X1
Source: RNAcentral
UUUUUCUCGUGUCGCAAACAAAUGCAAAUGCCGCUCAAAGUUGUUUAUAUUUGUUCAAUAUUCUUUGUUUUUAAUUUUUUAUGGACCAAAUUCAACCCCAAAAUGAUGUGAAGAUUAUAUUAAUGGAGCAUGGAAAUUCCCAAUUUUCACACAAGCCUCAUCUGAAUAUUUUGUAUUACCACAGCUUUAGCUGUUCAGCUACAGACAUAAACUUUUCAGCCCAAUAUAUGGGAUGAAUGCAAAAGGUUCUCUCUUGACUCUCAUUAAUUGAUACUUUUUUCAAGCAGUUCAUGAUAAAGAUAAUAUAGUAUUAAUCCGUUGGCUGCUACCAUGAAUUUUCCUCUUUGACUUUCUUAGAACGGGUCCGCUCUUGAUUUGAGGUUAAUCCUGCGCCGCUUUUCAAUUACUGAAUUCAUUGGUGGAACCUGACGACAAAUCUGCAACCACUGACUGACGUGCUGUCAUUCAGCAAUACCGCCACUUGCAGAAAAUGACGAUUUACCACAGUCGUUAUGAAGUGCAUCAAUUUCCCAACGUACUCAACAUCACAAAGAUGUAAUGCUCUCUAUCAAUCCUACUAUAUACACUCGCCAGAAAUGUUCAGUUGGUUUGUUUCUUUUCCCUAUCCAGAAUCCCAUCAUCAGAUUGAAGAAGGGAUACUUUCUAGAGAUUCAUUUUUUGCUUUGCGUCGAUCGCACUCACGUCUGGUAGGCCUACGAAUGGUUUGUGACGAAACCUCUUUCCAGUGCCGAUCAGUGUUCACAAACUGUUGGAUCGAUCGCACAAAAUGUAACUAAAGGACAAAUGCAAUCACACUACCCGACCAUGAAAGAAAGUAAUACAAACAUGUCACUAUACCCGACCUUCCAUCAAAUAAACUGCUGCUGCAGUUUAGAAAAUCUGAAAACCUGGAGCCUUGGAUUACCGUAAGAUGAAAUAGGCCUGCCAAGCCCCGUCAAUUUGAACGUAUGGAAGUUUUGGCCACGACUGAAUUUGAAAAGGCUCUUUGUCAACAAGAAAAAACCAUCUGAUCCAAAAAAAAUUUAGGCAAGUUGUUCCCACAAUAUAGUAGACAAAAGAACGUAAAGAACUAAUAGUU